Pseudomyrmex gracilis is the source of this 1868-nucleotide long non-coding RNA. RefSeq lists it as uncharacterized. Lineage: Eukaryota; Metazoa; Arthropoda; Insecta; Hymenoptera; Formicidae. The record is from RefSeq and is a predicted model, not a curated record. The transcript is spliced from 3 exons.
GACUAACCGUUAUAGGUCCAAGAGCCACAAGCGCACCAAACCAAACCAAACCAGCAUUAAAAUCCUAUGGGUGAAUUUUAUUGAUUCUAGAAUAACUUAAUGGGGUUAUUGCUCGCAUAAACAGGGUUUAAAUCGAAACAAAAAGUUGCUAAAAUCUUGUAUAUAUUUGUCAAAAUCUAGUAUAUGAAUGAAUGUAAUAUGAGUAAUAUGAGUAAAAGAGGUGAAUAUCAGUAUCAUUUCAAAGGCUGCAAAAAUGCAAGUAGUGAAAAACGAGGACCAAAAGACACUUUGUUUUGAUCUCCAGAAGACAUAGAAAGGCAAGUGACAAAUCCUCUUUUGAAAAAAAGUGAUUAGAAGAUGAUGAUAAUCUGAAGAAGCAAGGUUUGGAGGCAAGAUCUGGAGAAUAAGCUGCAAGCAGAAAAAUUUCCUAGCUCAAGCUAAAAAAGACUUAUAGAGUUGCUUUUGCCAUAUGUAAUUACGCAUCAUCGUGCAGCAUCGAAUGAAUCACUUGCCUAAUUCCACUGUUGGUAAAAAAUUUUUUUGUCUGGUUUAUGAGUUAGGACCUUUACUUAAAGAACAAUUAUAACACUACAGAACAAAUCAUGUUGGUAACCUGAGCAGCACUUUUAUUUAACUGGAAUGCACUAAAGAUGCAAUGCCUCAUGCUUUUUUUGGAACAACAUCGUGAUAACUAAUGUUUUUUGAGAUUAUGUCGGCGGGAUUAUAAAGUAUUAUAGUACUUCUCAAAGCUUAAGAUUGACAUGUUUAAAUCACCAUAAAGCUAGGAAAAAAUUUCAAAUUGAACUAGAGUUACAAGAUGUUAAAAAUAAAGGCACCGAAUUACUUUGUACACCUAACAAUGAAAGCAUAAAUUUAAUUGUUGUUAUAUAACACAUUCAAUUAUCAUUAUAUAACAAAAACUUGAAAAAUAGAAAUAUAAGCAAUAUUACUGCUUGAAGGUCAAAAUUAUAUGGGUAGCAGUCUGUAAGAAUUAUUUUCAAAAAUAGUUACAGCUUUAUAAGGUUACAAAAUAUGCAAACUUUAUUUAAAAAAUAACAUGUUUUUAACUUAUGAGAAAAAACAAUAUUGCAGUCACAUACCAUUUCAGAUUAUAUUGUGAAAAUUAAGUUACUUUUUCACAUAUUUCAAUGAUAUUAGAAUAACAUUCUACUAGGUUAGGUUAUCAAAACUGUCUUAAAUCAUCUUUCAAAAAACAGUUUUUACACACAACUUUAAUCUUACUUUGAUCUUACAGACAAAAAUGCAAGCUAAACUACAAAAACCAAUAACAUUUCAAAUAUUAACAAUAUACAAAAAAAGGACAAGAACAUAAUACACAAAAAAAUAAUAUAGUAGAUUUGACGUUUAUUGAAAAACACCUGGAUAUAGAAGAAACAAUAGCAAAAGACAUCAGACAUAGAAAAUUAGGGACACAAACAUUUUCACGUUACUAUUUUCUACAUCUCUAAGUACAUCUUUAUUGACAGAUAAAAAAAUAUAAAAGAAAACUAUCUCAUUUAGAACUAAAAUAAGCAUUAAAGAAAGCAAAAAAGCGAAAAAAGAAGAUAUUACUACAUUAGAGAAGUUAUUAAAUACAUAUUUUCCAAGCCAAACAUUCGAAUUUAAAAAAAAAAAACAGGCACAUCUGUUUCAAAAAGAUACAAAAAGUAGAAAGUACAAUAGCGAUUUCUUUAAACAACAUUCUUUAUUCAUAUAUUUUGCAAGUCUCAAGACAUCGAGUGGAUCUAUUGUUUUUAUUUAUACUGUGAUACUGAUACCCUUACGAAAAGAACUAUUGCCGAUUACAUAUAAAUAAAGUUAGUAAUAUAAAUAUUACUGACAAUCACACAAGAAUAUUACUAGGUAUU